Molecule: long non-coding RNA, 201 nt
Filed under: Nicotiana benthamiana
Lineage: Eukaryota; Viridiplantae; Streptophyta; Magnoliopsida; Solanales; Solanaceae
Description: long non-coding RNA (NBEN_LNC018514)
Source: RNAcentral
AAACCAUUCCUCAAUUUUGGUCUUUAAUAUAUUCUUGUGAAACCAAUACUUCAAGAAGGAUCAAGGAGACAAUCUUGAAGGAAGGAUUAAAGAGCUUUCAAAGGCACACUUUGGACAAUCUUCAACAAAAGGAUUAAGGAUUUCCACAUAUGGAUUCAGGUACGCUUCCGUUCAUGUUGUUAUUCCAAAUUAUUCGAUAUG